GGGAGCACAUGUUGGAGAUCAUCCAAAGAUACAUUCCACUCAACUUGUCUAUAGAUGAGGAGCACGCGUUGGAGACCAAAGAUGUGUUUCACUCAGCUCGUCCAUGGACGAAGAGUGUGCAUUGGAGAACCAUAUGAAGAAACAUUCCACUUAGCUCGUCCAUGGAUGAGGAGCGUGUGUUGAAGAAUAUAUAGAGACUCAUUUUGUUCAGCUCAUCCAUGGAUAAGGAGC
Molecule: long non-coding RNA, 231 nt
Filed under: Elaeis guineensis (African oil palm)
Lineage: Eukaryota; Viridiplantae; Streptophyta; Magnoliopsida; Arecales; Arecaceae
Description: long non-coding RNA (EGUI_LNC037882)
Source: RNAcentral